Molecule: non-coding RNA, 23 nt
Filed under: Arabidopsis thaliana (thale cress)
Lineage: Eukaryota; Viridiplantae; Streptophyta; Magnoliopsida; Brassicales; Brassicaceae
Source: RNAcentral
GGAGCUGUUGUGUUGAUACUCCC